Molecule: unclassified non-coding RNA, 432 nt
Filed under: soil metagenome
Description: partial contains 5.8S ribosomal RNA, internal transcribed spacer 2, and large subunit ribosomal RNA
Rfam family: 5.8S ribosomal RNA (bases 1-120)
Source: RNAcentral
GAUGAAGAACGCAGCGAAAUGCGAUACGUAAUGUGAAUUGCAGAAUUCAGUGAAUCAUCGAAUCUUUGAACGCAUAUUGCGCUCUCUGGUAUUCCGGAGAGCAUGCUUGUUUGAGUAUCAGUAAACACCUCAACUUCCAUAUCUUUUUUGAAAUGGGAGUUGGACUUGAGUGAUCCCAACGCUUUUCCUCACCGAAAAGUGGCGGGUUACUUGAAAUGCAGGUGCAGCUGGACUUUUCUCUGAGCUAUAAGCAUAUCUAUUUAGUCUGCCUAAAAAACAGAUUAUUACCUUUGCUGCAGCUAACAUAAAGGAGAUUAGUUCUUGUGCUGACUGAUGCAGGAUUCACAAAGACGGCUUCGGCCGACUUUGUAAACUCGAGCUCAAAUCAAGUAAGACUACCCGCUGAACUUAAGCAUAUCAAUAAGCGGAGGA